This 30-nucleotide ribosomal RNA is filed under the name Sycophila biguttata. RNAcentral's name for it is "partial 28S ribosomal RNA". The record is from RNAcentral. Lineage: Eukaryota; Metazoa; Arthropoda; Insecta; Hymenoptera; Eurytomidae.
CGAGACUACCCCCUAAAUUUAAGCAUUAAA